Bubalus bubalis (water buffalo) is the source of this 1503-nucleotide long non-coding RNA. RefSeq lists it as uncharacterized. The transcript has 2 exons. The record is from RefSeq and is a predicted model, not a curated record. Lineage: Eukaryota; Metazoa; Chordata; Mammalia; Artiodactyla; Bovidae.
CCUCCAUAUCGUGAUUGAAAUGAGACCCUCAGCAGCUCAUUCCGGGCUCCACUCCCUCCACCUGGGCUGAAGCUCUCAGACAGGCUUUCCCACUCCCUCUGCCCUGCCCACACCUGUUUAAAAAACAGAUGCAGGAGCGUGAACCCAAGAAGUUACAGUGAGAAAAUGUAGUUAGUGUGAGUGAAUUUUAUGAUUGCCUAAUUUUGUGGGAUUACUGAGCAAAUAACUUGUACAACUGAUUCCUGGGAAGACAAAAGGCUAAAAGUACUGAAAGGUUUCUAUACGGAAAGUCUGAUCACCCCUUCAGUCUUAAGUGAUGCCCAAAGUGGAGAAGAGGAAAUAGGAAAAUGAGGGAAAGCAUGGACAUGUAUCCAAUCAGUAUCCUAGCCCAACCAGGAGCCAUGGUUCAAGCAGAGAAAGGACAACACCCUUCCAGCGGAUUAUACCUGGUAGUGACCAUCAGGAAACCAAGGUUCCCAGAAGGAUGGAGCCAUUGGGAGGAGCAUUCCAAGUAGACAUCCAUAAACACUCUGAUGAGCAGAGACUAUUAGAUUGAAGACCCAGGAAAAAAGAAAAAACAAAAGUGAGGGAGAAGAAUUUUUUAAGAAAUAUAUUAUCUCCAAGCUCUCCUCCACCUGAAUUUAUAUCUCAUAGUUUCAUCUUCAAGCUUCAGUUUAGAAAUAAAACUUCUCCAAGAAGUCCCACAACUUCACAUGAUGUCCUAGAUAUCUUAUAGGAUAUUAGACUUGGUUUAAAUUAUUUUGAAAUCCAUCCAAAUGCCUUUUCCCUGCUGACAGCUCCAUGCUGCCCACUCAUAUAAAAAGACUCACCAGGAGAAUAAAUUAUUUCUUCCCUUGUCAGUGGUAAUUUGUGUUCACUAAAUUACCUCCAGAUCUACUUUCCUGAGUCAAAAAUAACUUCAUAGUUUUUUUUUUUUUUUCUUUUCCUUCCAUGUCCAUCUUGGAAAGACGUAUAGAUUUUGAAGUUAACCUCUCUCUGCUAGAUACUCAGAAAUAAUUAAGCUCGUUUUCUUCUUAAGUCAGCCAGAUGUUUCAUUUUAAGAUGGAACAAUACAUGGUUUAUUUGACCCAAGUUCUCAUGGAAAGGCCAUUGCUUUCACUUUGAUAGUCCUAUUUUGUGAGAGGUAAAAAUGAAAAACAUCUUUAAAAGAAUUCCUUUUUUUCCUGGGAACAGUGCUUGGUCUCAACAGGAAACCACAUUUUUAAAGAACAUGUAAGUUAUUACUGAUGAUGCUCCAGAAUCUGAUCAAACAGUUUAAGCUGCAGCCAUCACGGUGGGAUUUUACCACACUGUUCUUCAUAACUGUUAAAAGAGAUAGAAAUGUCUUAUGAUGUCAAGGUCUGUUUCUGGCAAGGCAUCUAUUUACACAAUUUCUUUGUCACUUUAGCAUUUUCUUCUAAUCAAGCUGGGCAAAUGUGCUUAGGGUACCUUUUAUUUUUGUCUUAAAGAAUGCUAAUAAAUGGUUAAGGGUAUUUUUUACAA